RNAcentral lists this ribosomal RNA (253 nucleotides) under uncultured bacterium. RNAcentral's name for it is "partial 16S ribosomal RNA". It matches the Rfam family "Bacterial small subunit ribosomal RNA", at positions 524 to 776 of the family's 1533-position model. The record is from RNAcentral.
UACAGAGGGGGCGAGCGUUGUUCGGAAUUACUGGGCGUAAAGGGCGCGUAGGCGGCCUUCUAAGUCGAACGUGAAAUCCCCGGGCUCAACCCGGGAACUGCGUCCGAUACUGGGAGGCUUGAAUCCGGGAGAGGGAUGUGGAAUUCCAGGUGUAGCGGUGAAAUGCGUAGAUAUCUGGAGGAACACCGGUGGCGAAGGCGGCAUCCUGGACCGGUAUCGACGCUGAGGCGCGAAAGCCAGGGGAGCAAACGGG